RNAcentral lists this long non-coding RNA (539 nucleotides) under Numida meleagris (helmeted guineafowl). RNAcentral's name for it is "lncRNA (ENSNMEG00000016433.1)". Lineage: Eukaryota; Metazoa; Chordata; Aves; Galliformes; Numididae. The record is from RNAcentral.
GAUUUUUAACAUACUGUGGUAUUUUAUAGAAGAAAGGCUAAAGAAUCUGGCUUGCUCUUUUUCUCAGGGUAAUGAUCCAAUAAGUUGAAGGAAAUCCUGCCCAAAGGAGGAAUAAUGAAGUGGAUGGCAUGAAGAUGAAGGCCAGGGGGUGCUGGAGUCCAGGAUCUCUUUAAAGCAGUUCAUGUGCUCUGGACUCUCACAGAUGUCAGGAGUCUGGAAUGGCAGGUGGUACUUUAGAGCCCAUAAGACAGCAUGGGCUACAACAGGCACGUUUAAAACAGGCACGACCGGCCUCUAGCAAGAUGUGCUAGGUGAAGUUUCACUAUUGGAGAGUGAGACUAGAAAUGAGCCCGAACAAAUCAGUAGUAGCAGAUGAUCCAAGAGGAGGUGUUUUCUGCUGCCCCUCAAUGGAAUUACAAAGUAAGCAAAGAGAUUAUGUCUCCCAAGAUGAUGUCAAUACAGCUCAGUGUCAGAGUGUCCAGGGGAUGCAGUCGGGGGGUUGCGCCUGAGAUAUCCUUGCCAGAUAGAAUGAGUGGACA